AUGAAUCCUGUUGAGAUUCCCCACUGGUUCGACCCCGUUCCCAACUCAGUGUGUGUGGAUGGAAAGAGGCUGCGGCAAUCUGCAAUGCUUGUUGACCCCGUGUCCAAGGUGCUCGACGACGAUAACCUUCUCAUCGAGAUCCUCCUCCUAAUCGGCUACCCCACCACCCUCAUCCGCGCUGCUCUCGUCUGCAAACGUUGGUUCAGUCAUGCCUCUGACCCUGCCUUCCUCUGCCGCUUCUGCAAGAUCCACCCGCCCCGCCUCCUCGGCGUAUAUUUCAAGACCAGGGCGAGCCGCUCACGCUUUGUGCCGAUGCUACCGCAGCCCCCAGAGAAUGAUGCAGUCAUCAGCUGCGCAAGCUCCGGCCUGGAUGCACAUAAACUCAUGUUGGAUGACUGGAAUGACAUCAUCUUCACCAAAACAUUUAACAACUGCAAUGAAGAACCCGGAUCAAUACAUAUAGUGCGCAACCCGCUCUGCCCUGCAAGAGGCAUGGUUAUCGUACCUCCAUUCCCAUGCUACGGACACCAGGACAGCUAUUUCUACAAGUUCUAUAAACUCCUAUUCGAAGAAGAAGGUGAUAGCUUGUCAUACUUCUGUGUGCAGAGUGAACUUUCUAAUGAUGGAAGAAAAUCUACGGUGUAUGUGUAUAUGUUGCAAGAUGGUGUUUGGUGCUUGCAUGCCUCACCAACGACACAGCUUCCUUGUCGGCCAUAG
Molecule: ribosomal RNA, 717 nt
Filed under: Triticum aestivum (bread wheat)
Lineage: Eukaryota; Viridiplantae; Streptophyta; Magnoliopsida; Poales; Poaceae
Description: partial small subunit ribosomal RNA
Source: RNAcentral